GACACGCUGGCGGCGUGGAUUAGGCAUGCAAGUCGAACGGUAUCAUCCUUUCGGGGGUGAGAGAGUGGCGAACUGGUGAGUAACACGUAGGUUAUCUACCCUCAAGACGGGGACAACCCAGGGAAACUUGGGCUAAUACCGGAUGUGAGCAACUUUUAGUUGUUUGAAAGGUGGCGUAAGCUGUCGCUUGGGGAUGAGCCUGCGUCCUAUUAGUUAGUUGGUGAGGUAACGGCUCACCUAGGCAAUGAUAGGUAGGCGGCCUUAACGGGUGGUCGCCCACACUGGGAUUGAGAUACGGCCCAGACCCCUACGGGAGGCAGCAGUCGAGAAUAGUCUACAAUGGUCGGAAGACUGAUAGUGCGACGCCGCGUGAACGAUGAAUCCCUUCGGGGUGUAAAGUUCUUUUAUAUGUGAGCAGUGCUUCUUAUAUUAACAGUAUGGGGAGAGAGAUAUUAGCAUAUGAAUAAGCAACGGCUAACUCCGUG
Molecule: ribosomal RNA, 485 nt
Filed under: uncultured bacterium
Lineage: Bacteria
Description: bacterial SSU rRNA
Rfam family: Bacterial small subunit ribosomal RNA
Source: RNAcentral